This is a long non-coding RNA of Grammomys surdaster, 635 nucleotides long. RefSeq lists it as uncharacterized. NCBI's taxonomy places the organism in Eukaryota, Metazoa, Chordata, Mammalia, Rodentia, Muridae. The record is from RefSeq and is a predicted model, not a curated record. The transcript has 3 exons.
UUCUGCUCCUGUGAUAAUUAGGUACUGUGUUAUGACCAAUCAGCCCUAUACCGCUAAGUGCCCUCAUGGACCCAAAAUAGAGCUGUCUCACUGAAGCCGUCUUCAGAAGUCCUUAAAGCAUACUGAUGGCUGUCCAAACUGUUUGUUCCUUCUUCUUCCUUUGUUAUCAUGAUCCUGUGAACAACAAUCCCCAAGGAGAUGGGAGAUCCACCACAUAAAGGCCCACUGAAUGACAAGAUAUAAAGUAGAUUUCCAAAUGGUUCUGGAUUCUGCAUUCAUCUUCUUCAAACCUUCAAACCUUAAUAUUACCUUCAAUGUGAAAAAAGACUUGUGUGAAGAACAGCCAGCAAAGCCUGAUCACACUUGCUUCCAGAUCUUCCAAGGUUUGCUCCACCCAUGUGAUCUCUACCCUAAAGAAAAAGGAUGAGGAAGAAGAGGAGGAGGAAAAGGAAGAGGAAAAGGAAGAGGAAGAAGACUACCCAUAUACUCACUGGGCAUGAUCAAACUUCAGUAGCUAGUCCCUUACAAAAAAAAAAAAAUAGAGUCCUUUUCCACCCACACCCAUUGAAGAAACCAUCUGUUGUGGUGAGCUACUCUUCAUUAUCCUUAUCACAAUAUUAAAGAAUUCUCUUCUA